GAUGAACGCUGGCGGCGUGCUUAACACAUGCGAGUCGAACGAUGAAGCCCAGCUUGCUGGGUGGAUUAGUGGCGAACGGGUGAGUAACACGUGAGUAACCUGCCCUUAACUCUGGGAUAAGCCUGGUAAACUGGGUCUAAUACCGGAUAGGAGCGUCCACCGCAUGGUGGGUGUUGGAAAGAUUUAUCGGUUUUGGAUGGACUCGCGGCCUAUCAGCUUGUUGGUGAGGUAAUGGCUCACCAAGGCGACGACGGGUAGCCGGCCUGAGAGGGUGACCGGCCACACUGGGACUGAGACACGGCCCAGACUCCUACGGGAGGCAGCAGUGGGGAAUAUUGCACAAUGGGCGCAAGCCUGAUGCAGCGACGCCGCGUGAGGGAUGACGGCCUUCGGGUUGUAAACCUCUUUCAGUAGGGAAGAAGCGAAAGUGACGGUACCUGCAGAAGAAGCACCGGCUAACUACGUG
Molecule: ribosomal RNA, 466 nt
Filed under: uncultured bacterium
Lineage: Bacteria
Description: partial 16S ribosomal RNA
Rfam family: Bacterial small subunit ribosomal RNA
Source: RNAcentral